UCAGGGCGGCAGCGGUGUCCCCGGCAGCCUGCGGCAGUGCGGGGACCGCCGGGGACCCGCACCAACCGAGUACCGCAGCUCUCGGCGCUCAGAGACCUGGACGGGAGAGUAACGUUCACCCACCGCCUGGAGUGACGAAUCUGAAGUAGCUUAAUGAGAUAACCUGCGAAAAUACAACUGACCCUGAGGCAGAAAGCGCCCUCCUUCCUUCCUCUGAUGUUUACCUUGGGUUUCGGGGUGACUGGACUGACCACAGAACUCUUCUGAGAUCCUGUCUUCUCCUGUGAUGUGUUCCUGCUGCCACGGGGAAUUCAAUGCACGGCAUAAAGCAGUACAGAGGCCAAUACUAUGUUCCCUCCAACUGGUCUUCAUUAUGUGAUAUCCUUUCUCUAGAGCUAAGCCAGGAGGUCGAUCAGAAAGACCCACGGGACAGAAUUCACUACUAGUGUCAAUAUGGGUAACCCCGUGGAGGAGCAUGGAGGUGUACACUCCUUCUUGAGCUGAUUACAAGUCUGGAUGGUCAACCUUUGGGCCAGGUUUGACUUUCUGGAUUUUUAUGUUAAAGAAAACAAAACUACCGCUUUUUCAAAUAAGCCGACUCUUCUUGCAGCAU
Calidris pugnax (ruff) is the source of this 613-nucleotide long non-coding RNA. RefSeq lists it as uncharacterized. NCBI's taxonomy places the organism in Eukaryota, Metazoa, Chordata, Aves, Charadriiformes, Scolopacidae. The transcript has 3 exons. The record is from RefSeq and is a predicted model, not a curated record.